Molecule: long non-coding RNA, 909 nt
Filed under: Nicotiana benthamiana
Lineage: Eukaryota; Viridiplantae; Streptophyta; Magnoliopsida; Solanales; Solanaceae
Description: long non-coding RNA (NBEN_LNC018846)
Source: RNAcentral
UUAACACACAAGUUUUGAACCCCAGAAAAUUCCCCCAACGCAAUCUCUACAUAUCUGAGUUUUCAUUUGAGUUUCAAAUCAGUAGACAGUUCAAAUUCUCUUCUAAAUCUUAGAUCCUUACUCAAAAAUAUAAAAAAAACACACAAAAAUACAAUAGAAAAUAAAAAAAGGCACUGUUACAUUGAGUUUUGGUCAAUUUUGAUCAACUCUUUUCUUUUCUGAUUGCUAAAGUUUUUCCCCGGAGUACACUAUUUGAUUUCAAGUAGUUUUGGUCCAAUUAAGUUAGCUUUGGAUGAGUUUUAGGUUGGCUGAAGUAUUCUGGUGCAUUCAAGCCUAUUUGAGUGCAUUUCAAGUAGCUUUGGGUCGAUUUGUUAGUUUUUGUCUGAUUGUUGAAGAGUUUUUGAGUGUCUGGGUACAUUUUCAAAUUCAUUCGAGUUUGGUUGGUGUGUUUGGGGUUGAGUUUUCUGGAUCUGCUUAAAUUUGAAAUUCUCCUGGGUUACUGAAUUCACUACCAGGCUAAUUAUUGGAUCUCUGUUGUUAUUGCUACUGACUUAUUCUCCUUCUUCUGAAUUUCUGUCCAUGUACACUAUUUGAACUCAUUCUGGUGUAACUCCAAAUUUGAAGUGAAAUGAAGUCAAAUUCUCGAUCUAUGCUCACUUACAUGCUGUGGUUGUAGACAGUCUAUGGAUGUGUAUUUGUUAGUUUUUGUCUAUUGGAAUUGUAUUGAAUCCGAACUUGUUUGUAUUGAUUUGGACUGUUAACUAGGAUGGUUUUCUGCUGAUUUGAACUGUUUAAAUUCAUAAGAGACCGUUAUAGACUAUUAAUUUGGUUCAGUUUAUUCCCACGAAUAUGUGAGUUCUCUAGUUAGUUUGAUACAUGUUAUACUAGUAUGGCACAGUGUAAUGUGAU